Molecule: long non-coding RNA, 1841 nt
Filed under: Gossypium barbadense (sea-island cotton)
Lineage: Eukaryota; Viridiplantae; Streptophyta; Magnoliopsida; Malvales; Malvaceae
Description: long non-coding RNA (GBAR_LNC009210)
Source: RNAcentral
UUCAAUACUAAUCUAAAUUUAGUAAACCAAUCUCAAAUACAAAACAUAUCAUACAACACAUAUACCAAAAUAAAUCCCAAACACAUAUCAUAAAUACUAGUCAACCCAGACACAUAGCAUUUUAACCAAAGAUGAACUUAAACUAUAAUCAAGCAAAACCAAAUUCAAGCAUAGGAGUCAAGCCAUAUUCGCAUGGCUCAAUUUAUACAUAUCCAAGAUCGGACAAAAUACAUAUUAGCUUAUACAUGCCAUAAGUUCGAAAUAAGACUUUUAAUAGUACCAAAGGUUGGUGAUAGUGUGGAUGACUUCAUUGACGAUCCCCGAGCCUAUGCUAACUUCCAAAAUCUAUAAGAACAAAGAAUAAACAUACCCACAGUAAGCUAUUGUAUCUUAGUAAGUUAUAAGCAAUUUAAGCAAAUUAACAACCUCGAUAGAUUAAUAAAAUAACCCGAAUCAAACAUAUAUUUAUACACAAAAUAUACCAUGGCUGAAUAUACACAUAUAUAAACUAUCAAUAUAUUCUCCAAUUUCAAAGUCAUAAUAUCAUAGAUAAUCAAUUAUACACAUGUAUUCAUAUAUAUACGUACUCAUGAAUCAGUUUUUAAAUAACAUACUUAUACUUAUCAUAAAAACGAAUACACUACUCAUAAUUUCAUACAUUUUCAAUAGCAUCACAUUACAUUUUUAUCACACAUCUUUUAGUCAAUUUACCUUCAUUUCAAAUAAGUAAACCACAUUACAUUCACGUACCUAGUCACUUUAGCUCAUUUAAUACAUUUCAUUACUUUUACUGUUGCUCUCAUAAAAUUUGUCAGGCAUAAAGCCUAGUAUAACACACCGGCACAGAGCCUACUAGGCAAUAAGCCUGAUUUAAUACACCGGCAUAAAGCUUGCUAGGCAAUAAGCUUGAUAUUAUACACCGGUAUCAAAUCCUGCUAGGCAAUAAGACUGAUAUAUCACAGUUACAAAGUCGAUCUUACACAUAAUUCAUAUUUCGGAAAUCCUAAUUAUUCCUUAAAGUUCAUACGAAGCCUUUCAAACAUCAUAUCUCAAUUGAACCGAACUUAUUCUCAAAUCUCAUAAACAUUUUUACAUUCGGCUAUAACUAUAGAAAUUCACACAAUUAAAUUCAGCAUAUAAAGAUCAUAUACAUUCAAAUUUAACAACGUUUAUUGCUUAUAAACUUUCCACGGAUAUCGACGAACGAUGUAAAUCUACUAUUCGACUAUUUUUGUUUUUCCCCGAUCCAAGUCUGAUUUCUUUUGUUCUUGAUCUAUAUUAGUAUAAAUUAAACUUAUUAAAUCAAUUAUUCAACCAAAUUCAUCCAAAAACAUACAAAUGGAAAAAUUACACUUUUACCCCUGAUAUUUCACAUUUUUCACAAUUUAGUCCCUAUUGCAUAAAACACAAAAUAUGCACAAUCUCACAACAACAUAGUUAGGCCGAAUAUUCCUUAUACUCAUAUAGUCCAUAUAUUUCAUUUAUUUCACAUUUUAGUCCUUCAGUUUAUUAUUUUUACAAUUUAGUCCUAAUUACUUAAAAUCAUCAAAAAUUUCAAUACAAAACAUGUUAAUCUAAAACAUAUAUUUACUAUUUCAUCAUCAAACAUCACAAAACACAAAUAUUCAUCAAUGGCACAACUCAAAACAUUCAUCAAAAUCAGAAAUCCUAGCAUGGGUCUGAUAGUAUUCGAAACAACGAUAUCAAAAACGUAAAAAUUAUCAAAAACCGAGUUAAAAUCAUACCUUAAUCAAGCUUGAAUAUAACCGAAACCUAGCUUCUUUUUAUUUUUCUUUCUAUUUUCAUAUUCGGUGAAAGAGAAAAGUAUGACCAUGGCUUUU